GUACGCGGACAUGGGGUUUGCUGCUUCUCGGGGAAGUGCUGCGUUCUGGAAGCGGAGGGUCAGGGAGGCUCGGCUGGGGUUUCUGUGUCGUCCCAGCCACCUCCUCCGCCGCGGGCACAGCCCUGGCGGCUCCCGCCGCCCCUUGGGCGCCGUCGCAGCCGCCGUUUCCUCCGGGACAUGCAGCGGAGGUCUGACGGCCGCCGCCACCACCGCGUUCUUCCGCGCCACGCGUGGCCGGCGGCUGACGGGAACCGCGCCGGGACAGCUUCCACCCAGAGUAAAAGACAGGUCAUCUGCCUCCGCCCGAGGCUGCCCUGUCGGCAUGACCUUGGCCACGGCCACGCCGGCAAAGGGAAGGCAGCGUCCGGCUGCUAGGUCAUGUUUAUUCAAGCAAACACAGAGCGGGUUCCCGCCUGCCGCCCCGGGCCGGAAGCGGCGCUGGGUGGCCUCUCCCGGCAGCGUGGGGCGGGGGCUCGGCAAGGCACGGCACAGGUCCUGCGCCCGCGGGACGUGGCGGCCGCCCGAGGUGAGGGGCAGGGAGCCUGCAUGGCGGCGGGUGGCGCACCCGAGUGCGGCAGGGUGGCGGCGAGCGGCCGACGCCUCCCGGGCACCGCGGCAGCACCUUGCGGCGCACCGGAGCGGCCUUCUGUGCGGAACGGCGGUGUUGGCCUUUCGCUGCGCUCGCAGGUCACAUGAAGGCCUCACGGAGCGAGCCGGCAGAGAGAGGACCUGAGAAUCCCUUUGUUCCUGGCUCCAGCCCUUGGUGAGGAGGGACACUGGACAUGCUGAAGGAUUACGGUAACCAGAUUGGAAACUGUCAGUUUAGCUAUGGACUGUUUGCAUAAACCUGUCUGAUAGUUCUGUCAUUGCCACUGUAGCUGUCCUGUACCAUGCCUGGUGAUGACCACCGAGUCCCAUUCUGCUGAGCAAGCUGCUCCAUACUCAACCAUCAGGCCUGCAUUCUCUAACAGAUUCAUCAAACUGGCAACAUGACACAGCUGUUUGCUACCCUCAAAAUCCCAUUCCAAGGGUAUCUGAUUCCCUUGCAUUUGCCUCAGAAAAAUCUGUUCUUGCAGCAGUCCUGUGGGAAGGUUGUGAAGUUGCAGAGACUCAUGGAAGCUCACCACUUGGGAAGUAUUUGGGAUUGGGUUGGGUUCUUGUGUCUAAGUUGAACAGCCAAUCCUGGUGCCAGGAUACAGCUGUGGUUUGGACACUUGUGGUGGAAGUUCUUGGUGAGGAGAGGUGUUGUGGACAGUUGUUCACAACAGAGCACCUGCCUUCAUCAUAAUUGCUGGGUUCACCAGCAGGGUACACACAAGUUGUGCUCACUACAAGACACAGGAACUGAAGGUCUCUGGCCUGUCAUACAGGUCUGACAAAGUGAUCAAAACAACCUUUACUGCCCUGGAAAACUGAAAUCCUGAUAGGCUAGGAAGUGGCUCAGUGUCACUAAACCUGUCAUCUUCUGAGACUUGCAAAAUGGGUAUCAGAGAAGAUGGUACUAAUUGCUGCUGUAAUGACAUAGCUCUCAGUUUUAUGGUUUCUGCGAAGCUUGGUUUUGGGGAGACUUUCUAAAAGUUACUCUAGGAGACUUAAAAGUUACUUGGGGAGGAACAGACAAGCCUUUGGUGUACACAGUUCUGCAUCAGAUCUCUUCAGUUUUGCUAGGCUGCUUUUAUCUGUAGAGACCCUCUAUAUUCUAGAGGCCACCACCUGUUCCUCCCUGUCCCCUAGAAUGGAAACUUGAUGCAGUGAUAUUUUUUUUUUGUAACGAAUGUGCAAUAAAUGUGUUGAAAAGCUUC
RNA transcript from Pogoniulus pusillus (Red-fronted tinkerbird), 1802 nucleotides. RefSeq lists it as uncharacterized. The transcript has 3 exons. Lineage: Eukaryota; Metazoa; Chordata; Aves; Piciformes; Lybiidae. The record is from RefSeq and is a predicted model, not a curated record.